CUAGUACUACCUCCGUCCGGAAAUACUUGUCAUCAAAAUGAAUAAAAGGGGAUGUAUCUAGAUGUAUAUUAGUUCUAGAUACAUCCCUUUUUAUCCAUUUUGAUGACAAAUAUUUUCUGACGGAGGGAGUAUAUG
This is a non-coding RNA of Triticum aestivum (bread wheat), 135 nucleotides long. The record is from Rfam. Lineage: Eukaryota; Viridiplantae; Streptophyta; Magnoliopsida; Poales; Poaceae.